Molecule: transfer RNA, 69 nt
Filed under: Ictidomys tridecemlineatus (thirteen-lined ground squirrel)
Lineage: Eukaryota; Metazoa; Chordata; Mammalia; Rodentia; Sciuridae
Description: Spermophilus tridecemlineatus (thirteen-lined ground squirrel) tRNA
Rfam family: tRNA
About the family: Transfer RNA (tRNA) molecules are approximately 80 nucleotides in length. Their secondary structure includes four short double-helical elements and three loops (D, anti-codon, and T loops). Further hydrogen bonds mediate the characteristic L-shaped molecular structure. tRNAs have two regions of fundamental functional importance: the anti-codon, which is responsible for specific mRNA codon recognition, and the 3' end, to which the tRNAs corresponding amino acid is attached (by aminoacyl-tRNA synthetases). tRNAs cope with the degeneracy of the genetic code in two manners: having more than one tRNA (with a specific anti-codon) for a particular amino acid; and 'wobble' base-pairing, i.e. permitting non-standard base-pairing at the 3rd anti-codon position.
Source: Rfam by way of RNAcentral
GGGGUUGUGGCUCAGUGGUAGAGCACUUGCCUAGCAUGUGUGAGACACUGGGUUCAAUCCCUAGCACCA